RNAcentral lists this transfer RNA (72 nucleotides) under Eurysternus inflexus. Its description in RNAcentral is "tRNA-Val". The record is from RNAcentral. Lineage: Eukaryota; Metazoa; Arthropoda; Insecta; Coleoptera; Scarabaeidae.
CAAAUUAGAGCUUGUUUUAUAAAGUAACUUAUUUACAUUAAGGAGAAAAUUGUGAAAUUCAAUUUAAUUUGA